RNAcentral lists this long non-coding RNA (2495 nucleotides) under Macaca fascicularis (crab-eating macaque). RNAcentral describes it as "lncRNA (ENSMFAG00000056855.1)". The record is from RNAcentral. Lineage: Eukaryota; Metazoa; Chordata; Mammalia; Primates; Cercopithecidae.
UUUUUGAUUUUUUGCUAAGUUUUUAUUUUAAUUCAAGGACUUUGCUUCAUACAAAAUGUCAUUGUAGAAACAAUAGCAGAAUCCAAAGUUUGGCUGAUAAAUAUUACUCAGGCAGCAAACUAGUCAAUCACAGAAUUUUUUUUAAGUAGGUCCCAGUUGUGUUGCAUGGUUGGGACUUUUUUUUUUUUUUAACACUUCUUAAAUAUAAAGUUUUGCAACAAACCUUUGAUUUAUAUCAAAUAUAAUUAAAAAUUAAAUGAAUACAUUGUAUCAAAAAGUACGAAGAUAUACAUUAUCAUGCACAUACUUGUAUAUAUGUAUAUAUGUAUAUAUGUUACAUGCACACAUAACUUGUUCAAACUACAGCCACUGCUUGACUGGUUCCAGAUGCAGACAACUGGGUGAUGCAUUUCAAAUUUGGCAACUCACUAUGAGAUUCAGGGGACAUAUAUGAUAGCUGGAGAAGACACAGUGAGAAACAAAACCCAAAGUCAGGAAAACAAGACAUAAUGUCUCCUUUCCCCGCUCCCUGUAGUUUUCAUCAAUUCCAAUGCCUAGAAGAGUCCAGACAAGCCAGCUAGGCUGUGUGGGUCUAGAAAAGUGGAUUCUCGACCCAACACUGCCUGGGGAAAUGGCUGUGGUUCUGCAUGGAAUGGACACAUUUGACACCCAAGAUAACAUGGGCUGGGGGCGGGGGAACAAGAGACAAAACAUCAGUCAAAAUACACAUCCUUCUACUUUGCAACAUGAGCACAGUGAUCACAUGCAUAGUCCGAGAUUCCUGGUUUAUUCUAUUGGAAUAAAAUACUCUGUUGUCGUUAAAGUUCCAGAGCGUUGUGCCUUCAGGUAAGGAAAUUCUAUAAAAAGGUUUGGUCACAAUCAUGCUGAACCCCGAGACCAGGCAGCGGUCUUGUGUGUUUUAUUUCUAGUAAAUGUGUCUUUUGUUGCAUAGCCCUAUGGGUUAAUGACAUCCACACACUGAGCACACCUGCACAGGCACUGUGCCUCCCGUGACACAGACACACACACACGCAUCACACACAACUUCUUUGAGGAGAAUCGUGGGGUAGAAGCCAAGAAUCCAACACAGAUCAUCUGGAAUUUCAGAACACGGAGGACACACCACCACUAACUGCUCUAAAUGCUCCCUUUCUUCACAAAACAAAGGGCCUCCCAGCAGCUUGUGCACCUUGGACAGUGUCCUGAGCGUGCUCUUUCUCUCCUGAGCAUGGCCAUGGGGGUCAGACCUCACUUGACUGCCUGCUCCGUGUCUGGCGCCAGGACAGUGCUGGGCGUCAGGUGUCCUCCCUUGGUCACUUGCUCUGAGUUUCAUUCCAGCUGGGGUUUCCUCCCUCCUGCCCUGACGGCCCUACAUCCAAGCCCCCAGCCAAUGUCUCCCUCCUUCCUGCCAGCCUUUCCCUCUCUUCUGCUGUGUGUGGACGGAAACCUAUUUCACACACCACAGAGUGUGCCCUGAGAAUCAGAUGCAGAACAGACUGAAAAUGCCUCACACAAGCACAUGGUCAGCCACCCUGUGGCUUCCCUGGAAACCCCUUCCACUCGUGGGAGGAGGACAACAAAUGGCUGCCUUGUUUCCCACCAUGACAUCCAGUACUCUCCACUGGCAAGGGCUUGCUACCUGGCUGCCGUUUUGAGUACUUUUCACAACAUCCUGCCACGAUGGUUCCCGAGGCCUCGCCUCACACCACAGUGCCCAGGUGCCCGGGUGUGAGGGCCUGGCGGUCAGGCACUUGGUCAAGAGCAGCAGAGUCAGGGGCCGUCUGGGAUCCACCUGGACUGGACGGGGCUGCACAGGGAGUCUCCCUCACAUAAGCCACAAAGACACGUGGCAAAAAGCUGACAUCUUUCUUCCACAGGUUUGAUUUUUUAAAGUUAUGUGAACAUUUCCUUCCCCAUUUUUCUGGUUUUCUAUUUUUUCUACACCAAGUAUAUAGAAGUGACAAGACUGAAGGUGUUGCAAUUAAAAAUCAAAACCACAGUAAGAACACUUUCCACCUCAGUCCCUGCGGGGCUGACGGUGUCCAGGGAGGGACAGAGCGUGUCUGAGCGAGCGUUCACUGACGCUGGCGGGCUGCACAAGCCACGACCGUUUCCCCUUCCCAUCCCCUCCGUCCCGAGGUCUCGGCGCGCUUUCAGGUGGGCCCUGCUUCUCUGCUGCACGGCCGCGUGAAGGGUGCUCCCCACAGGACGCAGAGCUCCUCACAACGGCUCCAAGCCACCCUGGAUGCUGAGUCCCAGGACACGGGAUUUGGACUCCCGGGUCCUUCUCAGCUACACACAGCAGCCUGCACUUUAGGGUCUGGUGUGUGGUACGAGACCCAGGAAGGCAGGACAGGAAGGGGACAGAGAGCCGCAUCCUCUAACAGGGCUUUAUUCGUCGUCUAGAGUAAAAGAGGGAAGGAGGGGGAGGGAGGGGCCGCAGGAGCCUCACCAAGGUGGGCGAGGCCUCCCCCCAGGGGCUGCUGCCCCGUGUG